AGUGGGAUAAUUGAGUCAAGUGGUGAUUCCAUUUCAAGUUUUCUGAGGAAUAUCCAUACUGCUUUCCUGAGUGGUUGUACCAAUUUGCAGUCCCACCAGUAAU
RNAcentral lists this microRNA precursor (103 nucleotides) under Marmota monax (woodchuck). The record is from RNAcentral. Lineage: Eukaryota; Metazoa; Chordata; Mammalia; Rodentia; Sciuridae.